Molecule: long non-coding RNA, 3311 nt
Filed under: Homo sapiens (human)
Lineage: Eukaryota; Metazoa; Chordata; Mammalia; Primates; Hominidae
Description: HSALNT0066747
Source: RNAcentral
GGAAUGCUCACCCGGCAGUGUGCAGGCCUGGCAGGGCUGCCUCUAAACCCAAAUUGCAGUCCCCAAGCACGUGCGCUUGCUCUGCCUGAGAUCUCCAAUGAUGCUGCUUUGGCGGGAGUACUGAUUCUAGCCAGUGAUUUAUCAUCUGUUUACUCAGAGAAACUGCUUGUUCAUUUCUGCUGGUGGGAAGGGAAGGAGGGAGGGAGGGAGGUGAACGUGUGUCCUGUGAGCUGCAGAGGUAGCCGGCAGGGAUGACUUAUACACUCCCCUCGAUGGGUGACCUCCAUUCACUCUUCCUCCCCGCCUCUCCGCCUGAUGAGAAACAGAAUGUGCUCCCUCCCCCCUGGGAGGCUUCAGAUUCAUUUUCUGCUCAGACACCGUUGCUUGCAAAAUUCCACCCAGAAGAUAAGGGAGGGAGUAUCGCUGCAGCGUCCUGCUCUGUGCCUGGUUAUAUUACUGGAUCCUUGUGUUGCAGCCCUAAGAUAGAAGGAUUGUCUCCAUUUCACAGAUGAGAGAGAACUGAUGCGCAGGAGGCUGAAAUUGUCUGAAGUCACACAGCAGCCUCCUCUUAAACAUGACAAAGAAUCCAAGGACUUGUGCUGGGGCUGUCAGCUGCUAUUCUGGUGCCCUGGGGACGAAGAAGGGAUCUGGAGGGAAGACUGUCACCCUCUUGCGAAUGUUUCCAAGAAGCAGCUCAGCAUGGGAGAGAAAAGGGGAGAUCCCAGUUCCAGGAACACCUGGCCAGUGUUUCACCUGUUUAUCGGAGUUGACAGGACCAGCCAGCCCUUUCCCACCUCUCCCCAUCAUGAUGGAUGGGAGCCUGGCCUUUGAGAAAGCACAGAACGUGGCACGUUGGAGGAAAUCAGUAAGUGUUUGCUAAAGGUCCAACAAUGAAACAGAACAGAUAUAUCCAGUGCUAUGCCGCGUCAAAAGAGUAUGAGAGGUAUUGUGGUGAUGCUUUUGAAUGCUAAUCAGAAUAAGGAGGGUGACUAGUCCAUAGUUAUAUAGAAUAUAGGAUAUACAGAAUAUACCUUUUUCUGUAACGGGAUGUGUCACUUAACUUUGUUCCUUAAAGCUCCAGAAGCCCAAGGUCACCCACAAUGAUUCAAGUAUUAUCAAUGUUGAGAGCCUGUAAAAGCAUCAAGUAUAUUAUAGUUUCCAAAAAAUUGUGAAUUAGACUGAAAACCAGCAUUUAAAAAAUAAAGUGAUGUUGACUUAAACACUGGUUUUAUAUACAUGCCGCAUAUGAGCUGUGGAGGCCGCUCACAUGCCAGCGUACUGGUUCAUCUGCAAUGGGCAGGCGGGCCAUACCCCACUGGGGAGAAAUCUUAUGGGCUUCAGAAAUGUCUAAUGAAAUAAGAUUUUUAACUAGUUCAAAAUCGGAGUUCAGAAACAGUUCAGUUAAUAUUUAAGUGUCGAGUUAAGAGAGGAGGUUGAACAAAAUUCAUUUUGAAGCUUUCACAGAGUUUUUAAAAAGCAAAACUUUAGACUUAAAAUGGACUGUUUUAUUAUAUGCAAUGCACGUGAAUAUUAAAUGUAUGUUAAGUUUUUCAUUUAGCAGAUUUCUCCCCAGACUUUUAAAACCACCACCAAAAAAUAUUUACAUAUUCUCUCCUCUCCCCCAAAGCAUCCCUCCCGUACACAAAUACCCUUAUUUUGAGACCGUGUUGCUCUAGAUUAAACCAGUUCUUCCAAGAGCAGCCCGUAGGAUUCUGCUCCAUCCAGAGCAAGGCCCUUGGCUAAAGUCACUGCCUCUGCUUGACUGAGCCGGGCUGGGAAUCUCAUUAUGGAAGCUUUCCACCUCCUUCCCAAGCCAGCCCUCUAGCGGAGGCCAAGAUUGCGUCAUCGGUCCUGGGCCUCAUCCCUCCUUGCCUGAGGCCUGCUCACCUAAUGUGUUUCAGGAGCAUUCCAGCAGCCAGGCCUUCAGUUGCUCCCCGAUCCCAGAUGGGGAAAACCUUGUGCGGCACAUUUGCCUCAGGAAGACUGCACUGGGCUCCCCGGCGCCCCUAGGACAGCGUCCCUUCACGUCGGAGAGACUGGGUGUGGGCCGUGAGGUUUAGGAGGCUUUAGGAGAAGGAAGAUCCUCUCUCAGGAGUGAAAUGAUCUUAUCUGAGAGGAUGGAAGUGGUGAGGGCAUCAGCAUGGGUCCUGGGCUGCGGCUGUGCCUCUUCCUCCCCAUGCUGACACGUGCUUGCCCACAAGCGCCCCGGGCCUCUACAUCUCUUGGUAGUUUAAAGCUCUAUUUUAGUCUCAACUAGCAGUUUCUCUCACUGGUAGAUCUAAGUUCUAAGACUAUUCAAUGGGUUCUGUUUCUUUUUUUAAGAAUUAAAAAAACUGUUCCAGUUAAUUCACGGUCACUAUGAAAAAAAUAGGCAGGACAUGUAAAUAAAAGAUUAAAAUAUAUACAAAUCAAAGAAGGAAGUACACCCAGGCCAGUUAUCAGGCAAGCUUGCCAGACAUCAAUCCAGCAAGAAAACGAUAGUGUGCUUUGAAAAUGCCAAAUCCGGCCGGGCGGGCGGCUCCCGCCUGUGAUCCCGGCACUUUGGGAGGCCGAGGCGGGCGGAUCACGAGGUCAGGAGAUCGAGACCAUCCUGGCUAACACGGUGAAACCCCGUCUCUACUAAAAAUACAAAAAAUUAGCCGGGCGUGGUGGCGGGCGCCUGUAGUCCCAGCUACUUGGGAGGCUGAGGCAGGAGAAUGGCGUGAACCCGGGAGGCGGAGCUUGCAGUGAGCCGAGAUGGCACCACUGCACUCCAGCCUGGGCAACAGAGCAAGACUCUGUCUCAAAAAAAAAAAAAAAAAAAAAGAAAAAGAAAAGAAAAUGCCAAAUCCGGCCAGGUGCGGUGGCUCAUGCCUGUAAUCCCAGCAUUUUGGGAGGCCAAGGCGGGUGGAUCACCAGAAGUCAGGAGUUCAAGACCAGCUUGACCAACAUGGAGAAACCCCGUCUCUACUAAAAAUACAAAAUUAGCUGGGCAUGGUGACGCAUGCCUGUAAUCCCAGCCACUCGGGAGCCUGAGGCAGGAGAAUCACUUAAACCCAGGAGGCAGAGGUUACUGUGAGCCAAGAUCGUCCCAUUGCACUCCAGCCUGGGCAACAAAAGUGAGACUCUGUCUCAAAAAAAAAAAAGAAAAAAGAAAGAAAAAAAGAAAAUGCCAAAUCCAUUACUUCUUUGGGAACCUCAGGUGUAACCGCUGGUGUGCUGUGGAUGACACAGCAUCACUGGGAUCUGGUGCCUGGUAUGAGCUGUGUGAAGGAGUAGGAGUGUGCUCACCCAUCCGCAGGGCCACCGUUGGUCACUGUCCUACAUUUUCC